Molecule: ribosomal RNA, 484 nt
Filed under: uncultured bacterium
Lineage: Bacteria
Description: partial 16S ribosomal RNA
Rfam family: Bacterial small subunit ribosomal RNA
Source: RNAcentral
GACGAACGCUGGCGGCGUGCUUAACACAUGCAAGUCGAACGAUGAAGGAGGAGCUUGCUCCUCUGGAUUAGUGGCGAACGGGUGAGUAACACGUGAGCAAUCUGCCCUUGACUCUGGGAUAAGCGCUGGAAACGGCGUCUAAUACCGGAUACGACCCUCGGAGGCAUCUCCUGUGGGUGGAAAGAACUUCGGUCAAGGAUGAGCUCGCGGCCUAUCAGCUUGUUGGUGAGGUAACGGCUCACCAAGGCGACGACGGGUAGCCGGCCUGAGAGGGUGACCGGCCACACUGGGACUGAGACACGGCCCAGACUCCUACGGGAGGCAGCAGUGGGGAAUAUUGCACAAUGGGCGCAAGCCUGAUGCAGCAACGCCGCGUGAGGGACGACGGCCUUCGGGUUGUAGACCUCUUUUAGCAGGGAAGAAGCGAGAGUGACGGUACCUGCAGAAAAAGCACCGGCUAACUACGUGCCAGCCGCCGCGGUAA